CGUGGGGAGCAAACAGGAUUAGAUACCUGGUAGUCACGCUGUAAACGAUGUCGAUUUGGAGGUUGUUCCCGUGAGGAGUGGCUUCGGGAGCUAACGCGUUAAAUCGACCGCUGGGGAGUACGGCCGCAAGGUUAAAACUCAAAUGAAUUGACGGGGGCCCGCACAAGCGGUGGAGCAUGUGGUUUAAUUCGAUGCAACGCGAAGAACCUUACCUACUCUUGACAUCCAGAGAAUUUAGCAGAGAUGCUUUAGUGCCUUCGGGAACUCUGAGACAGGUGCUGCAUGGCUGUCGUCAGCUCGUGUUGUGAAAUGUUGGGUUAAGUCCCGCAACGAGCGCAACCCUUAUCCUUUGUUGCCAGCACGUUAUGGUGGGAACUCAAAGGAGACUGCCGGUGAUAAACCGGAGGAAGGUGGGGAUGACGUCAAGUCAUCAUGGCCCUUACGAGUAGGGCUACACACGUGCUACAAUGGCGUAUACAAAGAGAAGCGACCUCGCGAGAGCAAGCGGAACUCAUAAAGUACGUCGUAGUCCGGAUUGGAGUCUGCAACUCGACUCCAUGAAGUCGGAAUCGCUAGUAAUCGUAGAUCAGAAUGCUACGGUGAAUACGUUCCCGGGCCUUGUACACACCGCCCGUCACACCAUGGGAGUGGGUUGCAAAAGAAGUAGGUAGCUUAACCUUCGGGAGGGCGCUUACCACUUUGUGAUUCAUGACUGGGGUGAAGUCGUAACAAGGUAACCA
Molecule: ribosomal RNA, 740 nt
Filed under: uncultured Providencia sp.
Lineage: Bacteria; Pseudomonadati; Pseudomonadota; Gammaproteobacteria; Enterobacterales; Morganellaceae
Description: bacterial SSU rRNA
Rfam family: Bacterial small subunit ribosomal RNA
Source: RNAcentral